UGACAAACAUAAGAGGUCCAGCCUGCCCAGUGACAAAGUUCAACGGCCGCGGUACCCUAACCGUGCGAAGGUAGCAUAAUCACUUGUUCUUUAAAUGAGGACUUGUAUCAACGGCACUACGAGGGCUAUACUGUCUCCUUUUUCUAAUCAGUGAAACUGAUCUCCCCGUGAAGAAGCGGGGAUUAAGAUAUAAGACGAGAAGACCCCAUGGAGCUUUAAACUCACCAUGCACCUCUGUGCUCCCACACCCCUGAACACAACAGACCUGCAUGUUAGUUUUAGGUUGGGGUGACCACGGAGUAUAAUUCAACCUCCAUAGCAAAUGGGCUAAAACCCUUAUCCACGAGACACACCUCUAAGAAUUACUAAACUAAUGCUUACGACCCGAUAUUCGAUCAAUGAACCAAGUUACCCUGGGGAUAACAGCGCAAUCUACUUCAAGAGCCCAUAUCGACAAGUAGGU
Molecule: ribosomal RNA, 463 nt
Filed under: Rana ornativentris
Lineage: Eukaryota; Metazoa; Chordata; Amphibia; Anura; Ranidae
Description: partial 16S ribosomal RNA
Rfam family: Bacterial large subunit ribosomal RNA
Source: RNAcentral